CUCUGGUUUGCUACGUAGCUUAAGCUGGGUGUGCCUGGGCAUUCGCCCAGGUCUCUGCCUCUGCAGCAAAACGGGGGUGACCAAACCAGCCCCACAGAUUGAUUAUGAAGAGUAAAUGUGGUCCCAUGGCAUCAUCAUAUAUGAGAAACACCUCAAUACAUUGAGCACGAACGUCAACAAUGGUGAUUAAAUUACAGGCAGUCAGGCAGGGCUGGCCUCUUUCUGACUUGUGAUCUGAACCGUGGAGCUCACGUGUUCAGAAUGAACAUCACCUCACUGGAGUUCAAGGCUCUGCAACUCGUACGUGCUUCAGAAUCCCUGGGAAGCUAAACGUUAAGAUGUUUGUGUACCAGAGCCUGGCAGGAAGUGAAGAAAUCCCCUUUGGAAGAGCAGCAGCGGCCUCUAUCCCGUGGCCUCCUCCCUCAUUCCUGGGGUGGCUGCCUGGGGCCUCCCAGUGCUGUGGCCUUGGUGGCUUUUCUCCUCUUUUUCUGACUGUUCCGGGAAAGGGGAGGGAUGGGGGAGAACCUGGUUCAGACCUCUUUUUGGAAUCACAGUGCCUUUGGCCCUCCACUGCCUAGCUCUCUCCAGCCUCAGCUCAGUUCUUAGAAUGAUGUCGUAGCAGGAAGUGGUUGGGGAAAGGGUGGUGAGAGGUGGCAGACACAGGAGGAGAGAAGAGGUUCCCAGGUCCGAGAGAAAACACCAGAGGGGAGAAUCCAGAGAGGACUCAGAGGUGAAACUGUGCCUUUUGACAGUGACAUUCCUUCCUUCAAAACACUUUUCCUAAGAAAAUUAAGAAGGCAAGGACAAGGGACCCAGAAUCCUCCCUAAAGCCAGACAAUAAUUAAAUGAGAGCUAAGGGCCGAGGAGGGCAGAUCACCUGAGGUCGGGAGUUCGAGACCAGCCUGACCAACAUGGAGAAACCCCGUCUCUACUACAAAUACAAAAUUAGCCGGGCAUGGUGGCGCAUGCCUGUAAUCCCAGCUACUUGGGAGGCUGAGGCAGGAGAAUCACUUGAACCCGGGAGGCAGAGGUGGCGGUGAGCGAAGAUCGCACCACUGCACUCCAGCCUGGGCAACAAGAGCGAAACUCCGUCUGAAAAAAAAAAAAAGCUAAGGGCCCAGGAAUGGCAGAAAAAUACCUCCUUGCAUCUUAAACUUGUCUGCUUUAAUAAUUUACUCUACAAGUAAUACGUGCUUUCGUGUGUGUUUAAAGCUUGUGAGGCUGGAUGAUAUUUCUGAAACGUUAAUUGGUAAUUGUUUCCACCUGGUAUGUCCUUUCUCUUGAGACCCUUCUCCAUUUGAGCCAGUGGGCUGCUCUGUGGCUACUGCUUUGGGAAAGGGACGUAACUGCUCCCUGCCCUCUGCUUUUGUUUCCAAAACCCAAGUUCUUAGGAAAACCAAAACAACUCUUGGCAUAGGAGACAACAGAUUUGGG
Molecule: long non-coding RNA, 1434 nt
Filed under: Homo sapiens (human)
Lineage: Eukaryota; Metazoa; Chordata; Mammalia; Primates; Hominidae
Description: HSALNT0405793
Source: RNAcentral